Non-coding RNA from Bacillus coahuilensis p1.1.43, 118 nucleotides. Lineage: Bacteria; Bacillati; Bacillota; Bacilli; Caryophanales; Bacillaceae. The record is from Rfam.
CACCCUUUUAAUGGCAGUCCAGAGAGGCUGACAAAGGGGAAUAGGAAACAGAUGAAUCUAUGGAAGGAUUCUCGUUUCUCUGUACCCUCUUUGUAUACAAGCAAAGAGGUUUUUUUAU